UCCACUUCGGCCUUCCCUAUACCCCUCCUGUCUCUCGCUUGGCGACACGGGGGUGGUAAAGUCGUGGGAGCGCCAUUUUUUAUUUUACCUACGUCGAGCUACAGUCGCAUGGAGAUUCAUUAAUAACAAGCUGCCGCGGUUCCUACGAGGAUUAGAGACAGAAUGGGGAAAGAGGAGUGACGGAGUGAUAGAAAGAGAGAAAUGUCUGUUCAAAUCAAUUUUCCGACGAAUAUCGGAGGAAAAAUAGAAGAAAAUCGCACGUAUAUUCACCCAUGCUCUUGUAAGAGGACAGCAACUAACCCUUUUAUCAAGUAAGAGAGGGUGGAAAGAAGGAAGGAAGGAAGGAAGGAAGGAAGGAAGGAAGGAAGGAAGAUGGUCGUCGCGACGAAGGGUCGGUCAGAUUUAGCGAAGGGCUUUUCGUUGGUGAGUUUAACAGACUUUUGCUGGUCGACGUGUAUCGAGGGGUUGAGGGGGUAGCGGAAGGAGCUGGUUUAGCAAGUUACGAGCAAUUGCCCACCUCUAUUCUGCGCCAUUGCUUCCUUCUUUAACCGACCAGUCACCUUCUCUCAUCGAGAGGCAAACCACCUCUUAGUUUCGAGGGGGCUACGAGGGUUGCGGUUGAUAGAAACUGAUGAAAAUUGCGUGAUUAACCGAGACCAUCUCCCCGGCUUAUCAACACGCUCCCGCGACCACAAGGAUCGGAAUGCCUUCGGGUUAUUUAGUGACGGACAAUCCCGAAGGACGAUGGAAGCAUUCUCUCCUAUUCUCUUCCUUCCACUCGGUACUCAAGAGAGAGAAAGAAGGAGAGAGAGAGUACAAGAUUUCUUAAAAGCAGUUCAAUAUCCCAAUUGGUUUCAAUGGAUCAAAUGACCUGUUUACUGUUUUAUCUUUGGCAAUGCUUACUACUGGAUCAGUAAGUAUAUUGAAAGAUCGCGUUUGCCGAAG
This is a long non-coding RNA of Polistes canadensis, 945 nucleotides long. RefSeq lists it as uncharacterized. The record is from RefSeq and is a predicted model, not a curated record. The transcript is spliced from 2 exons. Lineage: Eukaryota; Metazoa; Arthropoda; Insecta; Hymenoptera; Vespidae.